AUUGAACGUUGGCGGCAUGCUUUACACAUGCAAGUCGAGCGGCAGCGCGGGGGCAACCCUGGCGGCGAGCGGCGAACGGGUGAGUAAUGCAUCGGAACGUAUCCUCGAGUGGGGGAUAACCCAGCGAAAGUUGGGCUAAUACCGCAUGAGCUCUGAGGAGGAAAGCGGGGGACCUGCGAGGGCCUCGCGCUGGAGGAGCGGCCGAUGUCCGAUUAGCUAGUUGGUGGGGUAAAGGCUUACCAAGGCGACGAUCGGUAGCUGGUCUGAGAGGAUGAUCAGCCACACUGGGACUGAGACACGGCCCAGACUCCUACGGGAGGCAGCAGUGGGGAAUUUUGGACAAUGGGGGCAACCCUGAUCCAGCCAUGCCGCGUGAGUGAAGAAGGCCUUCGGGUUGUAAAGCUCUUUCGGACGGAACGAAAUGGGCGGGACUAAUACUCCUGUCUGAUGACGGUACCGUAAGAAGAAGCACCGGCUAACUACGUG
This 486-nucleotide ribosomal RNA is filed under the name uncultured bacterium. RNAcentral's name for it is "partial 16S ribosomal RNA". It matches the Rfam family "Bacterial small subunit ribosomal RNA", at positions 29 to 507 of the family's 1533-position model. The record is from RNAcentral.